UCAAGAAGGUGCCACGAUUGAUUCCUCCACCCAUGACCCAUCACACCAAUUGAAAGGAUUUCAAAUUUCGUCGUUUUAUUCAAUAUCAAUUUUUGUUCUUUUGUGUUUUUGUGAUUCUAUUGCCAAUUUUUGAAUCAAUGUUUUGUGGUAUAUCAAGGCAUGAAAAAAUUGUGUUUAUCAAUAAGUUUUCAAUUGUGAACUUGACAG
RNAcentral lists this long non-coding RNA (207 nucleotides) under Trifolium pratense (red clover). RNAcentral's name for it is "long non-coding RNA (TPRA_LNC010376)". The record is from RNAcentral. Lineage: Eukaryota; Viridiplantae; Streptophyta; Magnoliopsida; Fabales; Fabaceae.